Long non-coding RNA from Pseudophryne corroboree (corroboree frog), 290 nucleotides. RefSeq lists it as uncharacterized. Lineage: Eukaryota; Metazoa; Chordata; Amphibia; Anura; Myobatrachidae. The transcript has 3 exons. The record is from RefSeq and is a predicted model, not a curated record.
UAGAUGACAUCAUCAUCCCUUCCCUUUAUAAGGGUUUGUACCUGGCUCAGUGUUCCAUUACACAGGUACUGAGCUUCUGCUGCAGAUUCACAGAAAGGUUCCCUAUCUAAGUGAUUUUUCUGUACCUGGGUAUCCGAAUUUUUCUUUUACAAGUUUUCUCACUAUAAGGCCAAACUGGUUGUAUACCAGAAAGCCCCGGUGAUAUAUGGGAUUUCCCACCAAGCACGUAUGAACGAGUCUUAUCGUAUUUUACUGUUCGUAUAAACAACUGUACGUUCCAGUCAUUCGAG